Molecule: long non-coding RNA, 327 nt
Filed under: Gossypium raimondii (Peruvian cotton)
Lineage: Eukaryota; Viridiplantae; Streptophyta; Magnoliopsida; Malvales; Malvaceae
Description: long non-coding RNA (GRAI_LNC004242)
Source: RNAcentral
UGGAUAUUUGACCGUGUAUCCAGAGCAUGGUAGUAGUAACAUCACCAAUAGGAGUCCAAGCACCACCAGCAUUUGCUGCUAUCACAACAACAGCUCCUAGAAGCCUAUUGCAAUAUAUAUUCAUAUAAAUGGUUUUAAGAAAAUUGAAUCAACGUGUUACUAAUGGUUCUCAAUGUACUAUCCUAAUAUACCAAGAGUUGACUCGAUUGUGUAACGUACUUGCGGUAUUCCGAUGGAGGUACUAGUUUCCUCAACAAAGAAACCAUGACUAUUGUAGAUGUCAGAUUGUCAAGGAUGGAACUAAGAAAAAACGUCACGAAACCAACC